GUGGCUCAGGACGAACGCUGGCGGCGUGCUUAACACAUGCAAGUCGAGCGGAAAGGCCCCUUCGGGGGUACUCGAGCGGCGAACGGGUGAGUAACACGUGAGCAACCUGCCCCUGACUCUGGGAUAAGCCCGGGAAACUGGGUCUAAUACCGGAUAUGACCACUCCAGGCAUCUGGUGGUGGUGGAAAGUUUUUCGGUUGGGGAUGGGCUCGCGGCCUAUCAGCUUGUUGGUGGGGUGAUGGCCUACCAAGGCGACGACGGGUAACCGGCCUGAGAGGGCGACCGGUCACACUGGGACUGAGACACGGCCCAGACUCCUACGGGAGGCAGCAGUGGGGAAUAUUGCGCAAUGGGCGGAAGCCUGACGCAGCGACGCCGCGUGGGGGAUGACGGCCUUCGGGUUGUAAACCCCUUUCAGCAGGGACGAAGCUAACGUGACGGUACCUGC
This 448-nucleotide ribosomal RNA is filed under the name Actinomadura cremea. Its description in RNAcentral is "bacterial SSU rRNA". It matches the Rfam family "Bacterial small subunit ribosomal RNA", at positions 19 to 482 of the family's 1533-position model. Lineage: Bacteria; Bacillati; Actinomycetota; Actinomycetes; Streptosporangiales; Thermomonosporaceae. The record is from RNAcentral.